Molecule: ribosomal RNA, 486 nt
Filed under: uncultured bacterium
Lineage: Bacteria
Description: partial 16S ribosomal RNA
Rfam family: Bacterial small subunit ribosomal RNA
Source: RNAcentral
AUUGAACGCUGGCGGCAUGCCUUACACAUGCAAGUCGAACGGCAGCACGGGUGCUUGCACCUGGUGGCGAGUGGCGAACGGGUGAGUAAUACAUCGGAACAUGUCCUGUAGUGGGGGAUAGCCCGGCGAAAGCCGGAUUAAUACCGCAUACGAUCUACGGAUGAAAGCGGGGGACCUUCGGGCCUCGCGCUAUAGGGUUGGCCGAUGGCUGAUUAGCUAGUUGGUGGGGUAAAGGCCUACCAAGGCGACGAUCAGUAGCUGGUCUGAGAGGACGACCAGCCGCACUGGGACUGAGACACGGCCCAGACUCCUACGGGAGGCAGCAGUGGGGAAUUUUGGACAAUGGGCGAAAGCCUGAUCCAGCAAUGCCGCGUGUGUGAAGAAGGCCUUCGGGUUGUGAAGCACUUUUGUCCGGAAAGAAAUCCUUGGCUCUAAUACAGUCGGGGGAUGACGGUACCGGAAGAAUAAGCACCGGCUAACUACGUG